Molecule: ribosomal RNA, 889 nt
Filed under: uncultured bacterium
Lineage: Bacteria
Description: bacterial SSU rRNA
Rfam family: Bacterial small subunit ribosomal RNA
Source: RNAcentral
GAACUGCCUUCAAAACUACAUUUCUUGAGUUUGGUAGAGGAGAGUGGAAUUCCUAGUGUAGAGGUGAAAUUCGUAGAUAUUAGGAGGAACACCAGUGGCGAAGGCGACUCUCUGGGCCAAUACUGACGCUGAGGUUCGAAAGCAUGGGUAGCGAACAGGAUUAGAUACCCUGGUAGUCCAUGCAGUAAACGAUGAGUGCUAGAUGUUGAGAAUUUAAAUUUCCAGUAUCGCAGUUAACGCGUUAAGCACUCCGCCUGGGAAGUACGGCCGCAAGGCUAAAACUCAAAUGAAUUGACGGGGACCCGCACAAGCGGUGGAUCAUGUGGUUUAAUUCGAAGAUACGCGAAGGACCUUACCGGCCCUUGACAUACCAAUCGCGGACUUAAGAGAUUAAGUCUUUCACUUCGGGUGGAUUGGAUACAGGUGCUGCAUGGCUGUCGUCAGCUCGUGUCGUGAGAUGUUGGGUUAAGUCCCGCAACGAGCGCAACCCUUACCUUCAAUUGCCAGCACGUUAUGGUGGGAACUUUGAAGGAACUGCCGGUGAUAAGCCGGAGGAAGGUGGGGAUGACGUCAAGUCCUCAUGGCCCUUACGGGCCGGGCUACACACGUGAUACAAUGGUAACUACAAAAGGCAGCGAAGGAGCAAUCUGUAGCAAAUCCCUAAAAGUUACCUCAGUUCGGAUUGCACUCUGCAACUCGAGUGCAUGAAGUUGGAAUCGCUAGUAAUCGUAGAUCAGCGCGCUACGGUGAAUACGUUCCCGGGUCUUGUACACACCGCCCGUCACACCAUGGGAGUUGGUUUUACCUGAAGCUGGUUCGCUAACCGUAAGGAGGCAGCCAACCACGGUAAGAUUAGCGACUGGGGUGAAGUCGUAACAAGGUAACCGUA